CCUACGGGAGGCAGCAGUGAGGAAUAUUGGUCAAUGGCCGGAAGGCUGAACCAGCGAAGCCGCGUGAAGGACGAAGGUGCCCAGCAUUUUAACCGUCUUUUGUCAAGGGACAAGAUCAGGCUCGGGAGCCUUACCGAGGGUUCUUGAAAAAAAAGCAUCGGCUAACUGCGUGCCAGCCGCCGCGGUAACGCGGAGGAUGCGAGCGUUAUCCGGUUUUAUUGUGUUUAGAGUGUGCGUAGGGUGACGGUUAAGUCAGCGGUAAAAGCCCGGGGCUCAAGCCCGGUGAGCCGUUGAUACUGGCUGUCUUGAGUUGUCGAGAGGUAUGCGGAAUGCGCAGUGUAGCGGUGAAAUGCUUAGAUAUUGCGCAGAACUCCGAUUGCGAAGGCAGCAUACCGGCGGCGAUCUGACGCUGAGGCACGAAAGCGUGGGUAUCGAACAGGAUUAGAUACCCUUGUAGUC
RNAcentral lists this ribosomal RNA (459 nucleotides) under uncultured bacterium. Its description in RNAcentral is "partial 16S ribosomal RNA". It matches the Rfam family "Bacterial small subunit ribosomal RNA", at positions 338 to 795 of the family's 1533-position model. The record is from RNAcentral.